Non-coding RNA from Struthio camelus australis, 3124 nucleotides. NCBI's taxonomy places the organism in Eukaryota, Metazoa, Chordata, Aves, Struthioniformes, Struthionidae. The record is from RefSeq and is a predicted model, not a curated record.
UGCAACCGAUGCAGAAGUGCUGUUGAAUGCAUCUGCAGCUGAGAAAUCAGGCAAGCAGAAGAACCUGUUCUCUUGGUGAAAAGCAAGGGGUGAGGCUUUGAGCAAGCUGAGAUAACUAAGCAACUGUUCAAUAUCAUCUCUCAUUCUGCACCUGCUAUUGUGUGCAGUGCGUGCCACCGAAGAGCUGGUGUUGGGCUACAUCUGGCAUAUCAAGAUGUGACAGGGGCCAAUUUGCUGAGGGGUGGGGCAAAGAAUCAAAAGGUGAUGCCAUGGUGAGAGAGACCUCCCUUUUCCACGUGCUGUCCCAUGAUGCAGUAGCUCGUCAGGCCUUUGGAGUGAUUCAACAUCAUAGAUCAGUCUGUCUUCUGUUUACAGAGAGCAAAUCCUCCACAUCCCUCCUUGGAUUCAAGACCCCAACUAAUCCCUCAUCUCUUUGAUUCUCUACCAGCUGUUCAUCUGUCCUCUUUGUCAUAUGCUUUGAUGGGGAAAUCUUCCCAUCAAAGCCAACAAGACAAUUAGACACAUCAUACUCCUGGUUUCAUAAAAAUCCGCUGGAUGGCUACACAUUGUGGCAGCAGAGCAUACUUUGCUACUGAUUUUCCAAACUUCUACACAUUACUGGUGUCAGCACACAUUCUCCAGCUGCCAUUGAUAUAACAGUUGUUCUGAGACUUUGGCAGUGCUAGAGAUAUAUAGAAACUUUACAAAGGCUGAGGCUGACAUCGCCAGAAACCAGUCCUUCCAUUCUGUGUUUAGGCAGCCUCUACAGCUGGUGGGAAUCAUAAGUAACAGCACAGAGUUUUAGGGGAGGAAUAGCCAUGGGUGAAGGCAAACCACGUGAGGCGCUUCUUAUGGUCCUACACUUCAGUCCACGGUUUUAACAGCAGCUUCCUCAAAAACAGCCCAGGAGCAGCUGGUUGAGCUAGGGCAUGUCUGAGAAUUCUCAAGAUGCCUGAUCCAUCUGUGCAACCUGCAGCAGCAUCCCAACAGCUCAGGGAGAGGACCUGCCUCCAUCAUGGGAACGAACACCUGCAGCAGCUUUGUCCUGAAGCCUCCUUUCCAGCUGUUGCCACAUAGCCUACAGUCUGCCAGCUACUGUGGCCAGGCAGGGGCUUUCGGAGGAGGCAAGAGGCUGUGAUGCAAGUAGGAGGCAUCUGAAAAAACCUUUUGGAUGGUGCUUUGGCCUGGUACCAUCAACUUUCUCUUGUCACUUGGCACAAAAUGUUUCUUUCCUUUCUCACGAGCCUUCUUGCACCUCAUGCGUCAGAGAAAAGAAGGUAAAGCUUUGAGCCUGAUGGCAAACACCAUGUGACAUCCUUUGAGUCUGGAGUGACGGGGCUGAGAGUGACUGCUCCAUCCUCACUGUCUGGUGACGAGCUGCAGGAGGUGACCCCAAAGCAAGCACCACUUUGCAAAGCUCUACUGCCUGGGUGGACGGCUUGACUGAUGUGGUUAAAAGCCACUUGAGUUUCUGGAGGAUGGGGAUAAUUAAAUGUUCCUCAUGUUGCAGCAUGGGUAUAGAGGAAAAAAAAUAUUUUUACUCUCUUGCAUACUGAAGGCCAAACCUCCCUGUCUCUACAGCCGGAUGGAAAAGAACACAGGGAUUUAAUAACCUUACUAGAGAGCAGGGAUCACCAUGUCAUGUCCCACAAGCAGGAUUUUAACUCAUUCUGGAAACAAAACCUUAGAAAGGUGAGUUCACUUCACAGUUACCUUGCUCAUCCCUUCUGUAUUUACUAUGAUGUCCCUCAAAUGAAAUUUAUUCACUAGCUUCUUGCAUUACAGAGAUAGAAUAGAGUGUAUGCUAAUAUUAUCCCCUUUCCAAUAAUUUCUAUUUGGUACCAUUUAAUAUUAGCAUGCUCUGAUAAUUGCUAGAAUUUGAUUUAUUUGUUUUAAUCUGAAUCCCCAUAUUCCACAGGCGAUAAUCAGCGGUCUUUUUCUUUCUCUCUCCCAUGGGAGACUGACCUUAUAACUUCUUUCCUUGCUAAAAUUCUGCUCUGUUCCCCAGGUACCAAUCACAUUUCCUUUCAGAUUUGUCUAAUUGAUUGAUGGAAUUAAGCUAAACUCAGAGCAAUUGCUCUUGACCUUUAUAUAGCAACUGAGUUGUUGCUUCUAUUUCAGAGCUGAAGGGAAGCUGGUGUUCCCAAAAGAAAGACUGUUGUGCCAAAAGCCUGUCUGCUUUUCCUAUUGAAUAGUUUUACUUCUUCCCCAGAAACCUUACUUCAUAUAUACGCUCGGAUCAUCGGAGCUACAAUAAUAAUACCACCCUGGAAUCCACGAGAGCCAGAAUCUACUUCGUAUUGAUUCAUACUGAGAAAAACAUUUUUGGAAGAUUGCAGUCUCCUGGAUGCUAGCCAGAAUUGCCUGGGUUCUAUCAGUAUGCUGCAGCAUAAUGUACAAGCUUCAAAAGGGAUUAAUACAUAAAGUCAACACACAUUAUUCUAUUACGUUAAGUUGAUAGCAUCAGUCUAAUCAUUAAAAGCGUAGCAACAGUUUAAUUUCCAAACAGCUGUAUCCAUUUUAUGUUUUAAAAUCAGUCCUUCUCCAAAAAGUGGGAUGGGAUUUCUUGGAUUUUUUUUGUCGGAGUCGGGCUCGGGUUCACCUACUAGCAUAGCAUGCCCUUUACGUCUGGUGGAAUUCUUUCUUUUACCCCUGUGGCUAUAUUGCAGGUUCACUGGGCUAAUAUUUAAAUAAUCAAAAUCAUGAGCUUUAUAAAGUCAUGCUAUUUGAUAUUGUUGCAUGAAGGCCCUUUAUAAGCUGAAGGAUGCUUCCAGUAUCUGAUUCAGACAGGGAGGUAUUAUCUUGGGAAUCUCAACUAUCUGAUGCAAGAGAAGUUUAAAAUAUCUUUGGAAAGGAGAAGGAGAAAACCAUACGACAUUCCAGUAUUGCUUGCCAUACACAGGAUUCAACAUUUAUGCCCAUCCUGCAUCCGUUAGGAUUUAGAUGGGAUGUCACAGCCUCUCUUGUACCCAUGUCUAAAUAAAUGGGUGGUUCUUUCUGCAGGCUACAUCCUCCAAGGUCAGGAUUAACCUCAGUUGUAGUACAUCAGUUUUAUGAUUGAGGGAUUGUAUUUCAGUUUGGGAAAAAAAAAAAAAAAAGAAGUCUUUAUUGGCACAUUCAAGAA